UUUAGUGCUUGGGGAGUCUUGGCCUAUAUUCCUUCAAUUGUAUUUCAAUGGACGAAAAAUCUGUUGCCAUAAGAUGCAAAAGUCGAAGAGGAAGAAUAGAAUCAAAAACAAGGCAGAGAUAUAUGUAUUUUGAAGUCAUUAGCAACUUUUAGUGUUUGAUUUCAAAUACGAGAAACGAUGAUGAAGAACAUGAUCAAAAAGAGACAAAUAAAGGUGCAUGCAUAUGAUUGUUUUCACCCUGUCAUGAACUUGUUCUUUUGUAAUCAUUUAGAUGCAGGAGAUGCCGAUGAUGUAAAAAAAGACCGAAGUAUUUGUUUUUUCUGUAUACUGUCACUACGUUGUUCAACUUCUUUCUGUGAGCUCUGAGAUCAAUUCUUUGUAUCGCAAACGUCGACAUUUCCGUCAACAACAUUUUUUGUUAAGAUAAAUAAAGUACUUAUCUUUGA
Molecule: long non-coding RNA, 446 nt
Organism: Xenia sp. Carnegie-2017
Lineage: Eukaryota; Metazoa; Cnidaria; Anthozoa; Malacalcyonacea; Xeniidae
Exons: 2
Source: RefSeq, a predicted model, not a curated record